UCGGCCAAGGAUGGGGUCGCGGCCUAUCAGCUUGUUGGUGGGGUAAUGGCCUACCAAGGCGACGACGGGUAGCCGGCCUGAGAGGGCGACCGGCCACACUGGGACUGAGACACGGCCCAG
RNAcentral lists this ribosomal RNA (120 nucleotides) under uncultured bacterium. RNAcentral's name for it is "partial 16S ribosomal RNA". It matches the Rfam family "Bacterial small subunit ribosomal RNA", at positions 215 to 334 of the family's 1533-position model. The record is from RNAcentral.